GCAGCAGCCGCGGUAAUACGAAGGGUGCAAGCGUUAAUCGGAAUUACUGGGCGUAAAGCGUGCGUAGGCGGUUUGUUAAGUCUGUUGUGAAAUCCCCGGGCUCAACCUGGGAAUGGCAAUGGAUACUGGCAAGCUAGAGUGUGUCAGAGGAUGGUGGAAUUCCCGGUGUAGCGGUGAAAUGCGUAGAGAUCGGGAGGAACAUCAGUGGCGAAGGCGGCCAUCUGGGACAACACUGACGCUGAGGCACGAAAGCGUGGGGAGCAAACAGGAUUAGAUACCCCUGUAGUCCCUGUCUCUUAUAC
RNAcentral lists this ribosomal RNA (302 nucleotides) under uncultured bacterium. RNAcentral's name for it is "partial 16S ribosomal RNA". It matches the Rfam family "Bacterial small subunit ribosomal RNA", at positions 508 to 807 of the family's 1533-position model. The record is from RNAcentral.